UACGUAGGGGGCAAGCGUUAUCCGGAUUUACUGGGUGUAAAGGGAGCGUAGACGGCAGUGCAAGUCUGGAGUGAAAGGCGGGGGCUCAACCCCCGGACUGCUCUGGAAACUGUACGGCUGGAGUGCAGGAGAGGUAAGUGGAAUUCCUAGUGUAGCGGUGAAAUGCGUAGAUAUUAGGAGGAACACCAGUGGCGAAGGCGGCUUACUGGACUGUAACUGACGCCGAGGCUCGAAAGUGUGGGGAGCAAACAGG
This 253-nucleotide ribosomal RNA is filed under the name uncultured bacterium. RNAcentral's name for it is "partial 16S ribosomal RNA". It matches the Rfam family "Bacterial small subunit ribosomal RNA", at positions 524 to 776 of the family's 1533-position model. The record is from RNAcentral.